UACGUAGGGGGCAAGCGUUGUCCGGAUUUAUUGGGCGUAAAGAGCGUGUAGGCGGCCUGACAGGUCUGCUGUGAAAACUCGAGGCUCAACCUCGAGAUGUCGGCGGAAACCGUCUGGCUAGAGUCCGGAAGAGGAGAGUGGAAUUCCUGGUGUAGCGGUGAAAUGCGCAGAUAUCAGGAAGAACACCAAUGGCGAAAGCAGCUUUCUGGGACGGUACUGACGCUGAGACGCGAAAGCGUGGGGAGCGAACAGG
Molecule: ribosomal RNA, 253 nt
Filed under: uncultured bacterium
Lineage: Bacteria
Description: partial 16S ribosomal RNA
Rfam family: Bacterial small subunit ribosomal RNA
Source: RNAcentral